Molecule: long non-coding RNA, 734 nt
Filed under: Elaeis guineensis (African oil palm)
Lineage: Eukaryota; Viridiplantae; Streptophyta; Magnoliopsida; Arecales; Arecaceae
Description: long non-coding RNA (EGUI_LNC056363)
Source: RNAcentral
AGACUAGACUUGCCUUCUCAAACUUAAGUUAUACAGUAUAGGCUUGUUAAAAAAUACUUCUAGAUUAGAUAUUUCUUUCAAGUCUUUAGUUUUUUUGCUUCCAAUCUGAAGGUCUAAGUUUGGAAACUUAAAUUUUCUUGAGAGGACAUCCUUUUGAAUAAAAUCAUUGUGCAUAUUGAAGAAUUCUACAAUCACUCUCAAAUAUAUCAUUAGUAAACAUGAUUUAUACUCAAAUAACUUUGACAUCAUUAAAAUCAUUUUUAGAACAAACAAAAAUAACCUGUGGUCCUGCAGAUUGAUCAUGAGCUAAGUCAGAUUGACCCCCUCGUAAGUUACCUCUUCGAUGGUGCCCUCAUUAUAAACCCUAUUGAAGCUUGGAGGAUUGAAUGGCAAGCCCCCUAUUAUAUUCUCCUCAAAGAAAAGUUGUAUAAAAGAUCAUACUCGCUAUCCCUACUCAAAUGCCUCCGAUCGUCCAAAGUUGAUAAUGCUCUUUGGGAGGUACAUAAAGAAAUCUACAAAAAUUACUUAGGAGAUAAAUCAUCGGCCUAUAAGGUACUCUGACAGGGUACUACUGGCCAACUCUACAAUAAGAUGCUAUAGAGCUCAUCAGAAAAUAUGAUCAAUGCCAUAGAUAUGCUGGCAUCUAGUGCCGACCUUUAAUUGAGCUCACACCAAUCUCCAUAUCUUGGCUAUUUGCCUAGUGAAAAAUUGACAUCCUUGAUUUCUUGCCCACA